RNAcentral lists this ribosomal RNA (877 nucleotides) under Sporobolomyces pararoseus. RNAcentral describes it as "eukaryotic LSU rRNA". It matches the Rfam family "Eukaryotic large subunit ribosomal RNA", at positions 48 to 944 of the family's 3401-position model. Lineage: Eukaryota; Fungi; Basidiomycota; Microbotryomycetes; Sporidiobolales; Sporidiobolaceae. The record is from RNAcentral.
AAGCGGAGGAAAAGAAACUAACAAGGAUUCCCCUAGNUAGCGGCGAGCGAAGCGGGAAAAGCUCAAAUUUGUAAUCUGGCGUCUUCGACGUCCGAGUUGUAAUCUCGAGAAGUGUUUUCCGUGAUAGACCGCAUACAAGUCUCUUGGAACAGAGCGUCAUAGUGGUGAGAACCCAGUACACGAUGCGGAUGCCUAUUACUUUGUGAUACACUUUCGAAGAGUCGAGUUGUUUGGGAAUGCAGCUCAAAUUGGGUGGUAAAUUCCAUCUAAAGCUAAAUAUUGGCGAGAGACCGAUAGCGAACAAGUACCGUGAGGGAAAGAUGAAAAGCACUUUGGAAAGAGAGUUAACAGUACGUGAAAUUGUUGGAAGGGAAACACAUGCAGUGAUACUUGCUAUUCGGGGCAACUCGAUUGGCAGGCCCGCAUCAGUUUUUCGGGGCGGAAAAUCGUAGAGAGAAGGUAGCAGUUUCGGCUGUGUUAUAGCUCUUUACUGGAUUCGCCCUGGGGGACUGAGGAACGCAGCGUGCUUUUAGCAUGAGCUUCGGCUUAUCCACGCUUAGGAUGCGGGUUUAUGGCUGUAUAUGACCCGUCUUGAAACACGGACCAAGGAGUCUAACAUGCUUGCGAGUAUUUGGGUGUCAAACCCGGAUGCGCAAUGAAAGUGAAUGGAGGUGGGAAGCGCAAGCUGCACCAUCGACCGAUCUGGAUUUUUUAAGAUGGAUUUGAGUAAGAGCAAGUAUGUUGGGACCCGAAAGAUGGUGAACUAUGCCUGAAUAGGGCGAAGCCAGAGGAAACUCUGGUGGAGGCUCGUAGCGGUUCUGACGUGCAAAUCGAUCGUCAAAUUUGGGUAUAGGGGCGAAAGACUAAUCGAACCAUC